This is a long non-coding RNA of Cyprinus carpio carpio, 433 nucleotides long. The record is from Ensembl. NCBI's taxonomy places the organism in Eukaryota, Metazoa, Chordata, Actinopteri, Cypriniformes, Cyprinidae.
UUUGCCUUUCACAUCACAUUAUCUCUCUUUAACACUUUAUGUGAUUCUUCUUAGAUCUUUAGUUCACUUACUGUAAACAGAUUGAAAUGUGCUGAAUGUACAUUAGUGUCUGAGUUAUGUAAGCUUGUUGCUGUUAGUCAAUACAUCACGUGUUCAUGUUUCGGUGUUUAAUGUCUGAUGUCACGGAUGUCUUGUUUUCUCUGAAGUAGUUUCUCUGUUUUUGAUGCUGCAGACGAUGAACAGAAUCAGAGUUCAGUGAUGAUGGAAUACAGACUGAAUCCAUUCAGAGACACGGUGUACCGCGGCUCCUGCUCAGAACAGCACGACAGAUUGAUUUGCAUCAGAUGAAAGGGAACCUGCGGGAUGAGAAUGGAUUAAAGAUGUUCUCCUGCUGGAGGAAAGUGAGAAAACGCUCGUUUCAAACUCUCCACCA